AUGUAUGGCAAGGACGACUGCACGGAGCCAGCACGACACUUCCUCACCUCUCUCGGAUCUGAAAUGAACAGUAGCCCUACGGCUGGUGUCAGAGCACUUGUCCGUUCUUCCUCCAGACUCCGGAUGGAGCGAUUCUCUACAGAAGCCAUAACUAGAAGUCACGGCUAUCAGUCUGAAAGCAGCAGUUUAAGGCGUUUCUACGCUCAGGACGAAUAUAUGCCUUUGUGUUUCUGAUGGAAACUACUUUUAGUGGUGCCAGCUGACAUUUGGGAAGGACUGAUUCGCUGUUCACCUUUAAUGUAUCAUUGCAACAGCUGUAUGCUGAGGGAUUACAAAGUUACCAAAGCGGAGACUAUUUAAACUUAAAUGCUUACUGUCUCAUUACACUCAAAGGGUUGGGAUUUCCUUAGCUGACCUAAUGAGACACAUUUUCGAAAUAGUAUAUAUUAAAAAUGCAGUCAUAGAUUUUGACCUUUUUGGAUGUUUUUUUUGUUUUUGUUUCUUUUUUGCUCCUCAUGUGACUGUCUCUGUGAUCACUGCCUGAAAUAAAGGUUUGCAUUAUUUGGGACUUUAAUUGUGCCUUGUGUGUCUUGUUUUUGGUUCAUCUUCCUUGUGGACGAUUAUGUUCUUUUUAGUGUAAUUACUGUGAGUCACACAUGUAUACAUGUGUAUAUAUAUACAAGUAAUGGAUCCAGACUCUAUGCUGCGCUAGCUUGUGAAACUACUACUGGGUAUUUAUAGCUAGCCUAAGCAACAUGCUAAUUACCCUUUUAACUGCAUCUGUGUUCUAAAAAUAACAUUCCAGUAUAUCUAUAUUAUAUUUUGAAGGUAAUUCUUUUUCCAGGUUACAUUU
RNAcentral lists this long non-coding RNA (853 nucleotides) under Oreochromis niloticus (Nile tilapia). Its description in RNAcentral is "lncRNA (ENSONIG00000031939.1)". The record is from RNAcentral. Lineage: Eukaryota; Metazoa; Chordata; Actinopteri; Cichliformes; Cichlidae.